This 504-nucleotide ribosomal RNA is filed under the name uncultured bacterium. RNAcentral's name for it is "partial 16S ribosomal RNA". It matches the Rfam family "Bacterial small subunit ribosomal RNA", at positions 29 to 523 of the family's 1533-position model. The record is from RNAcentral.
AUUGAACGCUGGCGGCAGGCCUAACACAUGCAAGUCGAGCGGUAGCACAGGGAGCUUGCUCCUGGGUGACGAGCGGCGGACGGGUGAGUAAUGUCUGGGAAACUGCCUGAUGGAGGGGGAUAACUACUGGAAACGGUAGCUAAUACCGCAUAACGUCGCAAGACCAAAGAGGGGGACCUUCGGGCCUCUUGCCAUCAGAUGUGCCCAGAUGGGAUUAGCUAGUAGGUGGGGUAACGGCUCACCUAGGCGACGAUCCCUAGCUGGUCUGGGAGGGUGACAGAGCACACUGGAACGGAGACACGGUCCAGACUCCUACGGGAGGCAGCAGUGGGGAAUAUUGGACAAUGGGGGCAGGCCUGAUGCAGCCAUGCCGCGUGUAUGAAGAAGGCCUUCGGGUUGUAAAGUACUUUCAGCGGGGAGGAAGGCGAUAAGGUUAAUAACCUUGUCGAUUGACGUUACCCGCAGAAGAAGCACCGGCUAAUUCCGUGCCAGCAGCCGCCGUAA